This 219-nucleotide ribosomal RNA is filed under the name Salmonella enterica subsp. enterica serovar Montevideo. RNAcentral describes it as "partial 16S ribosomal RNA". It matches the Rfam family "Bacterial small subunit ribosomal RNA", at positions 1 to 218 of the family's 1533-position model. The record is from RNAcentral. Lineage: Bacteria; Pseudomonadati; Pseudomonadota; Gammaproteobacteria; Enterobacterales; Enterobacteriaceae.
AAAUUGAAGAGUUUGAUCAUGGCUCAGAUUGAACGCUGGCGGCAGGCCUAACACAUGCAAGUCGAACGGUAACAGGAAGCAGCUUGCUGCUUUGCUGACGAGUGGCGGACGGGUGAGUAAUGUCUGGGAAACUGCCUGAUGGAGGGGGAUAACUACUGGAAACGGUGGCUAAUACCGCAUAACGUCGCAAGGCCAAAGAGGGGGACCUUCGGGCCUCUU